This is a non-coding RNA of Picea glauca (white spruce), 123 nucleotides long. Lineage: Eukaryota; Viridiplantae; Streptophyta; Pinopsida; Pinales; Pinaceae. The record is from Rfam.
AUGUACAUGCCUACAACAUAGAAUUAAUGCAUCGGGUCUCAUUAGAUCUGCGCAAUUAAACACGUUCAGGCUAGAGUAGUAUUGGGAUGGGUGACCGCCUGGGAAGUCCUAGUGUUUUACAUG